This 390-nucleotide ribosomal RNA is filed under the name uncultured eukaryote. Its description in RNAcentral is "SSU rRNA". It matches the Rfam family "Eukaryotic small subunit ribosomal RNA", at positions 587 to 972 of the family's 1831-position model. The record is from RNAcentral.
AGCUCCAAUAGCGUAUAUUAAAGUUGUUGCAGUUAAAAAGCUCGUAGUUGGAUUUCUGUGGACGUUGGUAGUGGUGGUGCAAACAAUGUACUUGCUACUAUCGGCUCCUCAUAAUGUUCGCCUGCCGUUUUCUGCUCUUAACUGGGUGGUCAGCGGUGGUGGACCGAUUACCUUGAACAAAUUAGAGUGUUCAAAGCAGGCAAUUCUUUUGCCCUGAAUAAAUUAGCAUGGGAUAAUGGAAUAUGACUCGGCUCAAGUUCGUUGGUUAUAUAGAGUCGAGUAAUGGUUAAUAGAGAUUGUCGGGGUCAUUCAUAUUCAAUUGUCAGAGGUGAAAUUCUUAGAUUCUUUGAAGAUGAACUGGUGCGAAAGCGUUUGACAAGGAUGCUCUCA